RNAcentral lists this ribosomal RNA (166 nucleotides) under uncultured bacterium. Its description in RNAcentral is "partial 16S rRNA". It matches the Rfam family "Bacterial small subunit ribosomal RNA", at positions 354 to 511 of the family's 1533-position model. The record is from RNAcentral.
GUAGGGAAUCUUCCACAAUGGAACGAAAGUCUGAUGGAGCAACGCCGCGUGAGUGAAGAAGGGUUUCGGCUCGUAAAACUCUGUUGUUAAAGAAGAACAUAUCUGAGAGUAACUGUUCAGGUAUUGACGGUAUUUAACCAGAAAGCCACGGCUAACUACGUGCCAA